GACGAGGGAUCCUAGCGUUGUUCGGAAUUAUUGGGCGUAAAGCGGGUGCAGGUGGCUUUGUAAGUCAGGUGUGAAAUCCCAGGGCUCAACCCUGGAAGUGCAUUUGAUACUGCGAAGCUUGAGUGUGGGAGAGGUGAGUAGAAUUCCAGGUGUAGUGGUGAAAUACGUAGAUAUCUGGAGGAAUACCGGAGGCGAAGGCGGCUCACUGGCCCAACACUGACACUCAGACCCGAAAGCGUGGGGAUCAAACAGG
RNAcentral lists this ribosomal RNA (253 nucleotides) under uncultured bacterium. RNAcentral's name for it is "partial 16S ribosomal RNA". It matches the Rfam family "Bacterial small subunit ribosomal RNA", at positions 524 to 776 of the family's 1533-position model. The record is from RNAcentral.